GCACCGCGACCCCAGGUCAGGCGGGAUUACCCGCUGAGUU
Molecule: ribosomal RNA, 40 nt
Filed under: Acer lobelii
Lineage: Eukaryota; Viridiplantae; Streptophyta; Magnoliopsida; Sapindales; Sapindaceae
Description: partial 25S ribosomal RNA
Source: RNAcentral